This 162-nucleotide unclassified non-coding RNA is filed under the name uncultured Basidiomycota. RNAcentral describes it as "sequence contains ITS1". Lineage: Eukaryota; Fungi; Basidiomycota. The record is from RNAcentral.
AAGAUUCUGACCUUCGGGUCUAACUUUUCAGCUGUGCGCUUCGGCUGCACGCUGAUAAAACCUUACACACCUGUGCACAUUUCGGUCGCAAUCCUGCAUGCAGGUUUGCUUCCGCUUUCACAUACAACCACAUGUCUUGAAUGUAAAAAACUAUAAAAGUAA